AGUUGCAGCCAUGACGGGAGUCAGGGAAUUAGCUGCUUCGACGGGGAGCUUGAGCAUACGGUGUGCCAUGUCGUGUUCAUUUGGCAUCGGCUGGGCAAUCGGUGCCUACCGGGCAUUGAGCGUGCAGUCAGUGCAUGUGGGAAAAGGGUUGUUGACGACAUGGCAAGCUGUAUGGGAUGGCAAACCGUGGGACGGUGAGCUCGCUGCAUUUUUGGUGCCGACGUGCCUAACGGGGCGUGCUUGGGCGUUUUGGUUGCUGUUUGUUGUUAGCAAUGCCGCAAUGCAUUGUGAGGCAAUGAAUGGUGGCCAUUUCGUCUGGGCAUUGUGUACGUAUGGUGCGUGAGUGGUGGUUGGCUUGUUUGGGCACGUUGGAUCCCUGCUUGGGCAGCGACGGCGUGCCUGGCUUGCCUCUUCAGUGGGCGGCCCAAGUGCGUAUUAGCCUUGGACGUUGUGGGUUACCUGUGUUGUAUACCUAUCGCGAGGGCAUUCGAUCGGUUAAAAACGUCCCGUUUCCGCCUUGUGCCGGGCCUUUCGGGGCUACGGUGCGGGGCGGACACCAAAGCACCCGCCGUGUUCCACUUCCCGUCCGUUCUCACACGCAUUCGGGUUGUUGGUGCAUGGCGUCGUGCUCGAUCCCUUGGAUGCGGAAAAUUGAGUGGGCACGAGGCCCUUGGCCCCUAUUUGCCCCGAAACAAAGCAUUCUAUGCUUCGUGGGAACGACGACCGUUGCCGCUGUGAUCGGGUCCUCGUGGCUUCGAUCACACGGCACCGGCGCCGAUGAGGAAUGCU
This 789-nucleotide unclassified non-coding RNA is filed under the name Adenocalymma cristicalyx. RNAcentral describes it as "partial external transcribed spacer". The record is from RNAcentral. Lineage: Eukaryota; Viridiplantae; Streptophyta; Magnoliopsida; Lamiales; Bignoniaceae.